GACUGGGUGAAGAAGCAGAGGGUCGCUAACGCCUUAAUGCAGAGAUUCCUGGGAACCAGGGGCAGGGAUGCCCCGAGCCUCCGCGGUGAGUUACAGCCCGGUGACUUUACAGAGCCCCUGAUGCGAGCCUAGUCACAGGAUUCUGCUUGCAGCAGAAUCUGAUGUGAGGGAGGCCAUGGUUCUCACCACCUGCUUACAGGAGCGAUAAGAGAGUUGGAAUGCAGGGGACAAGUUAGAUGCGUCAUGAAGGAUCAACCCUGGAAACCCAGAACGCGGGGUGUUCUGUGGGACACGAAAGGAACCGACGAGCGAGAAAUGCAGCCGGAUGGGAAGGGGAGGCCUCUGGGAGGCGCUGACAUUCGAGCUAAAACGGGGAGGGGGGCAUAUAGCAGAGGAAGAAGCAGCCAGUGCCAAGGUCCUGGGGCAGCCAGGGUGCUGCGUGUUUGGGAAAUACCAGAAAUUCCCACCAGGGCACAUAGGAAGUGGAGUCGAGGGGGUGGAGUGCAGAUGCAGAGACGGAGGCCGGGUGUGAGGAUUCUGGCCAGCUGCCUCGCCCAUGGGGCCCUGUGUGCCUCUGCAGGCGACCUUUUCUCCAGAGCAGAAACACGGUCAUCUGGGCAUAAGGAAGCAGUGGACACGGAGGAGGCCUAACGCACUGCGUUUUGUCUCUGCUCAGAGGCACUCAGUCACCUUUGCCCUCUUUCUCUGUGGCCUCUAAUCAGGGUCACCUGAGGAGGCUCCGCGGACACACCCGGAAGUUGGGCCCCAGCGCCCCCUGGCGCCCGCGGCGCGGCCCAACACCAGCCGCCGCUGGGAUCCGAGCCAAGCGCUCACCGAGGUGGGCUGAGGACCGGCUCGCCCCGCGC
This 866-nucleotide long non-coding RNA is filed under the name Cavia porcellus (domestic guinea pig). Its description in RNAcentral is "lncRNA (ENSCPOG00000032309.1)". The record is from RNAcentral. Lineage: Eukaryota; Metazoa; Chordata; Mammalia; Rodentia; Caviidae.